This 625-nucleotide ribosomal RNA is filed under the name Hypoclinemus mentalis. Its description in RNAcentral is "partial 16S ribosomal RNA". It matches the Rfam family "Bacterial large subunit ribosomal RNA", at positions 1796 to 2620 of the family's 2925-position model. The record is from RNAcentral. Lineage: Eukaryota; Metazoa; Chordata; Actinopteri; Pleuronectiformes; Achiridae.
UCGCCUGUUUUACAAAAACAUCGCCUCUUGCAAAACCAAAGAAUAAGAGGUCCCGCCUGCCCACUGAUCCAAGAUUCAACGGCCGCGGUAUUUUGACCGUGCUAAGGUAGCGUAAUCACUUGUCUUUUAAAUGAAGACCCGUAUGAAAGGCUUAACGAGGGCUUAACUGUCUCUUCUUUCUAGUCAAUGAAACUGAUCUCCCCGUGCAGAUGCGGGGAUAAAAACAUAAGACGAGAAGACCCUAUGGAGCUUUAGACACUAAAGCAGACUAUUUUUAAUAACCCUAACCAAGCAAUAAAUCUAAUAAAAACCUGCUACUGUCUUAGGUUGGGGCGACCCUGGGGAAACACAAAACCCCCAUGUGGAAGGGGGAACCUACUCUUCUACCCCUAAAAACCCGAAAUACAAUUCUAAUUAACAGAAUAUCUGACCAACUGAUCCGGCCUUGGGCCGAUUAACGAAACAAGUUACCCUAGGGAUAACAGCGCUAUCCCCUUUUAAAGUCCAUAUAGACAAGGGGGCUUACGACCUCGAUGUUGGAUCAGGACAUCCUAAUGGUGCAGCCGCUAUUAAGGGUUCGUUUGUUCAACGAUUAAAGUCCUACGUGAUCUGAGUUCAGACCGGA